UGAGGUAUAGCUCAGCGGUAGAGCGCCUGCUUAACAUGUAAAGGGCCCUGGGUUUAAUGCCCAGUACCACAC
Molecule: transfer RNA, 72 nt
Filed under: Marmota monax (woodchuck)
Lineage: Eukaryota; Metazoa; Chordata; Mammalia; Rodentia; Sciuridae
Rfam family: tRNA
About the family: Transfer RNA (tRNA) molecules are approximately 80 nucleotides in length.
Source: Rfam by way of RNAcentral